GAUUGAUAGCAAUAAGGACAAUUUUUUAGCAUGCCUUUAAAUCUCUCCCAAGCUUGGUAGAUAUUUUCUCCAUCUUUUUGUCUGAAACUCAAGAUCUCACUCCUCAAAUA
Non-coding RNA from Capsicum annuum, 110 nucleotides. The record is from Rfam. Lineage: Eukaryota; Viridiplantae; Streptophyta; Magnoliopsida; Solanales; Solanaceae.